This 490-nucleotide ribosomal RNA is filed under the name uncultured bacterium. Its description in RNAcentral is "partial 16S ribosomal RNA". It matches the Rfam family "Bacterial small subunit ribosomal RNA", at positions 30 to 507 of the family's 1533-position model. The record is from RNAcentral.
UGAACGCUGGCGGUAGGCCUAACACAUGCAAGUCGAACGGCAGCACAGUAAGAGCUUGCUCUUACGGGUGGCGGGUGGCGGACGGGUGAGGAAUACAUCGGAAUCUACUUUUUCGUGGGGGAUAACGUAGGGAAACUUACGCUAAUACCGCAUACGACCUACGGGUGAAAGCAGGGGAUCUUCGGACCUUGCGCGAUUGAAUGAGCCGAUGUCGGAUUAGCUAGUUGGCGGGGUAAAGGCCCACCAAGGCGACGAUCCGUAGCUGGUCUGAGAGGAUGAUCAGCCACACUGGAACUGAGACACGGUCCAGACUCCUACGGGAGGCAGCAGUGGGGAAUAUUGGACAAUGGGCGCAAGCCUGAUCCAGCCAUACCGCGUGGGUGAAGAAGGCCUUCGGGUUGUAAAGCCCUUUUGUUGGGAAAGAAAAGCAGCAGGUUAAUACCCCGCUGUUCUGACGGUACCCAAAGAAUAAGCACCGGCUAACUUCGUG